RNAcentral lists this ribosomal RNA (399 nucleotides) under Triticum aestivum (bread wheat). RNAcentral's name for it is "partial small subunit ribosomal RNA". The record is from RNAcentral. Lineage: Eukaryota; Viridiplantae; Streptophyta; Magnoliopsida; Poales; Poaceae.
AUGUCUCAUCGACGACAGGAAGAGAAUCUAGAAAUUAUUGCGCUUGAUGCAGUAGACGAAACUGAUCUGUUUGAUCUGAUCCCAACUUCCCAAGUCCUGAUGAGAACGUAUACCUACGUGGAUCCAAGUCGAGUUGGGAGCGGCAUCAAUCCGAUGAAUGUGCAAGGAAUUUCUGAAUCAAUCACUUCUAUUUGUGUAUGGGUAUGUUCGUUGGUCAUUCAAUUCAAUUGUUCGUACAACAGCAGAAUUUUCCCUUUAGCACGAAUUUCCAGUAGUUGUGUUGCUUCUUUUGAAGGUGGAUCUUGGAUUCAUUCCAUUAGUUUUAUUUUCAGAAUUUCCAAUUAUUUGAGUAUCCUCCCUAUAGCUGCCUUCAGAGAAGAACAUGAGCCUGGAUACUAA